RNAcentral lists this ribosomal RNA (424 nucleotides) under uncultured Alistipes sp. RNAcentral describes it as "bacterial SSU rRNA". It matches the Rfam family "Bacterial small subunit ribosomal RNA", at positions 338 to 776 of the family's 1533-position model. Lineage: Bacteria; Pseudomonadati; Bacteroidota; Bacteroidia; Bacteroidales; Rikenellaceae. The record is from RNAcentral.
CCUACGGGUGGCAGCAGUGGGGAAUAUUGGACAAUGGACCAAAAGUCUGAUCCAGCAAUUCUGUGUGCACGAUGAAGUUUUUCGGAAUGUAAAGUGCUUUCAGUUGGGAAGAAGUCAGUGACGGUACCAACAGAAGAAGCACCGGCUAACUCCGUGCCAGCAGCCGCGGUAAUACGGAGGGUGCAAGCGUUAAUCGGAAUUACUGGGCGUAAAGCGCACGCAGGCGGUCUGUCAAGUCGGAUGUGAAAUCCCCGGGCUCAACCCCGUAUUGCGUUGGAAACUGCUAAACUAGAGUACUGGAGAGGUAGGCGGAACUACAAGUGUAGAGGUGAAAUUCGUAGAUAUUUGUAGGAAUGCCGAUGGGGAAGCCAGCCUACUGGACAGAUACUGACGCUAAAGCGCGAAAGCGUGGGUAGCAAACAGG